GAGAGUUUGAUCCUAGCUCAGGGUGAAUGCUGGCGGCGUGGAUAAGUCAUGCAAGUCAAGGGGGCCCGCAAGGGCAACCGGCAAACGAGGUAGUAACACGUAGGUACACCCCCUCGAGACGGGUAUAGCCAGUCGAAAGACUGGGUAAUUCCCGAUAGUCCCGCAAGGGUAAAGGCAGUUAUUUAUUUAAUUGUCGCUUGAGGAGUGGCCUGCGUAGUAUCAGCUUGUUGGUAGGGUAACGGCCUACCAAGGCUACGACGCUUAGGGGAGCUGAGAGGCUGACCCCCACCGAUGGGACUGCGAUAAAAGUUGUCGCCUUAGGGGAGUAAUCCCCAAUGAUAAAUCUUGCUCAUAACGGUGGAACCUGACUGAUGGGUGUAUGAUAAUACCCAUCAAAGGCAAUACCGUGGGAAGUCGACACUAUCUUUCAGACGCAUACUUAGCAGGAUUCUUGGACGGAGACGGCUCUGUUGUGGCAACGCUUGAGCGUUAUCACAGUAAGCGAUUUCCGUAUCGUGUGCGCAUUAAAGUGAAUUUCACCCAACAUGCGAGACAUAAAGAUAAACUGUUGCUCAUGCAAGAAACGCUCGGAGGUUACGGAGUAACCCGUACCAACGCGCGCAAAAAUCUUGCGGAGCUAGUUAUCCAAGAACGAAGCGAAGUACAAGCGGUGCUCGUGCGACUCGUGCCAUUUCUUCUGAUAAAGAAAGACCAGGCAAAUCUGGCUCUUGAAGUAUUGAAAGGAAUGGAAUCAAACGAGAAGCAUAAACCGAGCACGCUGUCUAAAAGAGCGUAUAUUCGUAUUCUGUUAUUAGUACAGAAAAUUCGUGCCCUAAACUCCCAUACGGGAGGUAAGCGCACAAUACGAGUGUUUGACCCCGUAACGACUGAAUUUCCGGAGAAGACCGGAAUGAAGACGGGACUUUCGAGUCCUGUAAGACGCAAGCCCCUCGCGCGAACGAGGGUGAAAGUAUAGUCUGUGCCAUAAGAAAUUAUGGAAUAAACGACGGCCCAUACUCCUACGGGAGGCUGCAGACGAGAAUAUUCCGCAAUGGGCGAAAGCCUGACGGAGCGACGCCGCGUGAUGGAUGAAGUGCCUUGGUACGUAAACAUCUUUUAUCGGGGACGAAGUUUAUUGACGGUAC
RNAcentral lists this ribosomal RNA (1145 nucleotides) under Candidatus Kaiserbacteria bacterium CG10_big_fil_rev_8_21_14_0_10_56_12. Its description in RNAcentral is "partial 16S ribosomal RNA". It matches the Rfam family "Bacterial small subunit ribosomal RNA", at positions 7 to 478 of the family's 1533-position model. Lineage: Bacteria; Candidatus Kaiseribacteriota. The record is from RNAcentral.